Molecule: long non-coding RNA, 425 nt
Organism: Sinocyclocheilus rhinocerous
Lineage: Eukaryota; Metazoa; Chordata; Actinopteri; Cypriniformes; Cyprinidae
Exons: 3
Source: RefSeq, a predicted model, not a curated record
UGGUAUUGUUUUGGAAAGAUUUCAAAGGAAUCAAACUAUGAUAUGAUACUUCAAUUUUACAGAUGCAUGGAUAAAUCUUGCUGCUUUUCAUUGUCUACUAUCCUUUCUUUUACUACUGCAAGCGGAAGAGCGGCAACGGCCACCAUCUUUCAGCUCUUUGAGAGAUACACAACAUUUACAUCCUGUUGCGUGCAUCCAUUCCUGUGAUCUACGUAAAAAGUUCAGUUGCACUUCAAGAGCUGCAUUUCCACACAUUCUAGUGUGUUGGCUAGACCACAGCUAAUUCGGACCAGCAGAUAUAGAAAGCACUGCACUUGGUGAUGGAGGAGGGGAAGAUGCAGACAGACAGCAGACAAGAUGAGAAAUAGCAAGAUGGAAAAGAAGAUGAGCCUGACUGACAGAAACCUUCAAAGACGUACCUAUGC